GUAGGUGGCAAGCGUUGUCCGGAAUUAUUGGGCGUAAAGCGCGCGCAGGCGGUUCUUUAAGUCUGAUGUGAAAGCCCACGGCUCAACCGUGGAGGGUCAUUGGAAACUGGAGAACUUGAGUACAGAAGAGGAAAGAGGAAUUCCACGUGUAGCGGUGAAAUGCGUAGAGAUGUGGAGGAACACCAGUGGCGAAGGCGGCUUUCUGGUCUGUAACUGACGCUGAGGCGCGAAAGCGUGGGGAGCAAACAGGGAUUAGAUACCCUGGUAGUCCACGCCGUAAACGAUGAGUGCUAAGUGUUAGGGGGGUUUCCGCCCCCUUAGUGCUGCAGCUAACGCAUUAAGCACUCCGCCUGGGGAUACGGCCGCAAGGCUG
This 373-nucleotide ribosomal RNA is filed under the name uncultured organism. RNAcentral's name for it is "partial 16S ribosomal RNA". It matches the Rfam family "Bacterial small subunit ribosomal RNA", at positions 527 to 896 of the family's 1533-position model. The record is from RNAcentral.